UCAGAACGAACGCUGGCGGCAGGCUUAACACAUGCAAGUCGAAGGGAAGGAAGGAGCUUGCUCUUUCCGGAGACUGGCGCACGGGUGAGUAACGCGUAGACACCUGCCUAUAGCUGGGGGAUAACCACCGGAAACGGUGGCUAAUACCGCAUAAUGCCGCAUGGCUAAAGAUUAUAUUGGCUAUAGAUGGGUCUGCGUGCCAUUAGUUAGUUGGUAGGGUAACGGCCUACCAAGGCGAUGAUGGCUAGGGGGUCUGAGAGGAUGAUCCCCCACACUGGGACUGAGACACGGCCCAGACUCCUACGGGAGGCAGCAGUGAGGAAUCUUGCGCAAUGGAGGAAACUCUGACGCAGCCACGCCGCGUGCCGGAAGACGGCCUAUGGGUUGUAAACGGCUUUUAAUUGGGAAGAAUGGUGGGUUUCGACCUGCCUUGACGGUACCGAUUGAAUAAGCACCGGCUAACUCCGUGCCAGCAGCCGCGGUAAUACGGAGGGUGCAAGCGUUGUCCGGAAUCAUUGGGUGUAAAGGGUGCGUAGGCGGGCACUUAAGUCGGAGGUGAAAUCUUGCCGCUUAACGGUAAAAUGGCCUCCGAUACUGGGUGUCUUGAAUCUGACAGAGGUUGGUGGAAUUCGUAGUGUAGCGGUGAAAUGCAUA
RNAcentral lists this ribosomal RNA (654 nucleotides) under uncultured bacterium. RNAcentral describes it as "bacterial SSU rRNA". It matches the Rfam family "Bacterial small subunit ribosomal RNA", at positions 24 to 692 of the family's 1533-position model. The record is from RNAcentral.